RNAcentral lists this ribosomal RNA (378 nucleotides) under Dinophyceae sp. Its description in RNAcentral is "partial small subunit ribosomal RNA". It matches the Rfam family "Eukaryotic small subunit ribosomal RNA", at positions 587 to 972 of the family's 1831-position model. RNAcentral also lists the same sequence under 1 other name. Lineage: Eukaryota; Dinophyceae. The record is from RNAcentral.
AGCUCCAAUAGCGUAUAUUUAAGUUGCUGCAGUUAAAAAGCUCGUAGUUGGAUUUCGGGUGGGAAUGGCCGGUCCGCCGUUUCGGUGUGCACUUGCUACGCCCACCUUGCUGCCGGGGACGUGCUCUUGAGUUCACGCUCGGGACACGGAGUCGGCGAGGUUACUUUGAGUAAAUUAGAGUGUUCAAAGCAGGCCUACGCUCUGAAUACAUUAGCAUGGAAUAACACGAUAGGACUCUGGCCUAUCUUGUUGGUCUGUAGGACCGGAGUAAUGAUUAAGAGGGACAGUCGGGGGCAUUCGUAUUUCAUUGUCAGAGGUGAAAUUCUUGGAUUUAUGAAAGACGAACUACUGCGAAAGCAUUUGCCAAGGAUGUUUUCA